This 367-nucleotide unclassified non-coding RNA is filed under the name uncultured fungus. RNAcentral's name for it is "partial contains 5.8S ribosomal RNA and internal transcribed spacer 2". The stretch from base 1 to 133 matches the Rfam family "5.8S ribosomal RNA", at positions 22 to 154 of the family's 154-position model. The record is from RNAcentral. Lineage: Eukaryota; Fungi.
UGGCUCUCGCAUCGAUGAAGAACGCAGCGAAAUGCGAUAAGUAAUGUGAAUUGCAGAAUUCAGUGAAUCAUCGAAUCUUUGAACGCACCUUGCGCCCCUUGGUAUUCCGAGGGGCAUGCCUGUUCGAGUGUCAUUAAAUUAUCAGCUCGAAGUCUUCGCGCUUCGAAGUCUGGAUCUUGGAGCGUGCGGGUCCUCGCGAUCCGCUCCUCUCGAAACGCAUUAGCGGCAUACCGCUCGCGGAUCUGCCCCGGCGUGAUAAUUAUCUACGUCGCGGCGGCGAAGCUUACCAUGGUAUUCGCUUACAAUCCGUCGCUUCUCGACAAUCGAUGACGAUUUUGACCUCGAAUCAGGUAGGAUUACCCGCUGA